GGGGCUGUAGCUCAGUGGUACAGCGCUUGCCUUGCAUGCAGGAGACCUGGGUUUGAUCCCCAGCACCACA
RNAcentral lists this transfer RNA (70 nucleotides) under Marmota monax (woodchuck). Its description in RNAcentral is "tRNA.Ala". It matches the Rfam family "tRNA". From Rfam's summary of the family: Transfer RNA (tRNA) molecules are approximately 80 nucleotides in length. Their secondary structure includes four short double-helical elements and three loops (D, anti-codon, and T loops). Lineage: Eukaryota; Metazoa; Chordata; Mammalia; Rodentia; Sciuridae. The record is from RNAcentral.